RNAcentral lists this ribosomal RNA (820 nucleotides) under uncultured bacterium. RNAcentral's name for it is "bacterial SSU rRNA". It matches the Rfam family "Bacterial small subunit ribosomal RNA", at positions 51 to 878 of the family's 1533-position model. The record is from RNAcentral.
ACACAUGCAAGUCGAACGGAGUUGUGUUGAAAGCUUGCUGGAAAUACAACUUAGUGGCGGACGGGUGAGUAACACGUGAGUAACCUGCCUUUCAGAGUGGAAUAACGUUUGGAAACGAACGCUAAUACCGCAUAACAUGAGAGAACGGCAUCGUUCUUUCAUCAAAGAUUUUAUCGCUGAGAGAUGGGCUCGCGGCCGAUUAGGUAGUUGGUGAGAUAACAGCCCACCAGGCCGACGAUCGGUAGCCGGACUGAGAGGUUGAACGGCCACAUUGGGACUGAGACACGGCCCAGACUCCUACGGGAGGCAGCAGUGGGGGAUAUUGCACAAUGGAGGAAACUCUGAUGCAGCGACGCCGCGUGAGGGAAGACGGUCUUCGGAUUGUAAACCUCUGUCUUUAGGGACGAAAAAAUGACGGUACCUAAGGAGGAAGCCACGGCUAACUACGUGCCAGCAGCCGCGGUAAUACGUAGGUGGCAAGCGUUGUCCGGAAUUACUGGGUGUAAAGGGAGCGUAGGCGGGGAGACAAGUUGAAUGUUUAAACUAUCGGCUCAACUGAUAGUCGCGUUCAAAACUAUCACUCUUGAGUGCAGUAGAGGUAGGCGGAAUUCCUAGUGUAGCGGUGAAAUGCGUAGAUAUUAGGAGGAACACCAGUGGCGAAGGCGGCCUACUGGGCUGUAACUGACGCUGAGGCUCGAAAGCGUGGGUAGCAAACAGGAUUAGAUACCCUGGUAGUCCACGCCGUAAACGAUGAUUACUAGGUGUGGGGGGACUGACCCCUUCCGUGCCGGAGUUAACACAAUAAGUAAUCCACCUGGGG